CAUGCAAGCUGUUCAUUUUGCAUUAUUUUUGCUCAUUUUUCCAUGAGCUACUCAAAAUUUUGUAGAGGAGUGACAUGAUGACAUCACUGAAAGAGAGCCCGCCAAUCAGGAGUCAUCAUGGACCAUGUUCUACUUGUGCUUUUACACACUUCCUGUCAUACACUCUGCCAGUCUGUGACAUUUUCAGCCUCAGAAAAGUGUUUUAAAUGAGUGACAUGACAUCAUUCUGAGAAAUAAGACAAUUUCAGAGAAUAAAAUAAAAAGUGACCCUGAAGUUUGUACUGAAAAUCUGUAGCACUUCAUGACUCAUGCAAUAUACAGCUGUGCAAGAAUAAUGACUCAUAAUCGCACUGGUGUCACCCAGAAGGUUCCUUUUUUAAUUCUGGUUCCUGUCAAGGUUUCUUCCUCAUGUCAACACAGGGAAUUUUUCCUCACCAUCAUCACCUCUGGCUGCUCAUAAUAGUCAAAUUUAUAUCUGUGUCCAGAUUUCUGUAAAGCUGCUGUGUGACAAUGUCCAUUAAUUAUUAAAAUCUAUAUACAUAAAUUCAAAUUAAAUUGAAGAGGAGUGACAUAAUGACAUCAUUCUGAAGAGGAGUGAGGCAGACGUGGUGAUGCGUGAGGCAAAGCGGCAUGGUGAGGUGAGGAAGGUGUGGUGAGGUGAGGUGAGGAAGGUGUGGUGAUGUGAGGUGAGGAAGGUGUGGUGAUGUGAGGUGAGGAAGGUGUGGUGAUGUGAGGCGAGGAAGGUGUGGUGAUGUGAGGCGAGGAAGGUGUGGUGAUGUGAGGAAGGUGUGGUGAUGUGAGGUGAGGAAGGUGUGGUGAUGUGAGGCGAGGAAGGUGUGGUUAUGUGAGGUGAGGUAGGUGUGGUGAUGUGAGGCGAGGAAGGUGUGGUGAUGUAAGGUGAGGAAGAUGAGGCAGGUGUGGUGAUUUUGAGCCGAGGAAAGUGAGGAAGGUGUGGUGACGCAUGCAGUGAGGAAAGCAUGGUGAGAUGUGAGGUGAGGCAGGUGUGGUGAGGUAAGGUGAGGCAGGUGUGAGUAUAUUAAAG
Molecule: long non-coding RNA, 1042 nt
Organism: Ictalurus punctatus (channel catfish)
Lineage: Eukaryota; Metazoa; Chordata; Actinopteri; Siluriformes; Ictaluridae
Source: Ensembl